AUUCUCUUAAUACAAUUAGUAUAGGUGACUUCCAAUCACUCAGCCUUGGUUAAACCCCAAGAGAGAAUA
This 69-nucleotide transfer RNA is filed under the name Hoplobatrachus tigerinus (Indus valley bullfrog). RNAcentral's name for it is "tRNA-Gly". It matches the Rfam family "tRNA". Rfam says of the family: Transfer RNA (tRNA) molecules are approximately 80 nucleotides in length. Their secondary structure includes four short double-helical elements and three loops (D, anti-codon, and T loops). Further hydrogen bonds mediate the characteristic L-shaped molecular structure. tRNAs have two regions of fundamental functional importance: the anti-codon, which is responsible for specific mRNA codon recognition, and the 3' end, to which the tRNAs corresponding amino acid is attached (by aminoacyl-tRNA synthetases). tRNAs cope with the degeneracy of the genetic code in two manners: having more than one tRNA (with a specific anti-codon) for a particular amino acid; and 'wobble' base-pairing, i.e. permitting non-standard base-pairing at the 3rd anti-codon position. The record is from RNAcentral. Lineage: Eukaryota; Metazoa; Chordata; Amphibia; Anura; Dicroglossidae.